CGCCUGUUUAUCAAAAACAUCGCCUCUUGCUAAAAAGAAUGUAUUAGAGGUCCCGCCUGCCCAGUGACCACUGCGUUUAACGGCCGCGGUAUCAUAACCGUGCGAAGGUAGCGUAAUCAUUUGUCUUUUAAAUGAAGACCAGUAUGAACGGCAUCACGAGGGUUUAACUGUCUCCUCCCCCCAGUCAAUGAAAUUGAUCUGCCCGUGCAGAAGCGGACAUAAAGACAUAAGACGAGAAGACCCUAUGGAGCUUCAGGCAAAGAUCCAAACACGUCAAGAAACCUCACAUAACAAAAGAAACAAGACAAGUUUAAACCCAGUGCCCAAAUGAUCAUCUGCCUUCGGUUGGGGCGACCACGGGGAAAAAUAAAGCCCCCGUAUGGAAUGAGAACCACCUCUAAACUAAGAAAUACACCUCUAAGUAACAGAAAAUCUGACCAAACAUGACCCGGGAUAAACAAACCCGAUCAAUGAACCUAGUUACCCUAGGGAUAACAGCGCAAUCCUUUCCCAGAGCCCCUAUCGACGAAAGGGUUUACGACCUCGAUGUUGGAUCAGGGCAUCCUAAUGGUGAAGCCGCUAUUAAGGGUUCGUUUGUUCAACGAUUAACAGUCCUACGUGAUCUGAGUUCAGACCGGUUACUUC
RNAcentral lists this ribosomal RNA (645 nucleotides) under Ophichthus celebicus. RNAcentral describes it as "partial 16S ribosomal RNA". It matches the Rfam family "Bacterial large subunit ribosomal RNA", at positions 1797 to 2627 of the family's 2925-position model. Lineage: Eukaryota; Metazoa; Chordata; Actinopteri; Anguilliformes; Ophichthidae. The record is from RNAcentral.